RNAcentral lists this long non-coding RNA (693 nucleotides) under Astyanax mexicanus (Mexican tetra). RNAcentral's name for it is "lncRNA (ENSAMXG00005016069.1)". The record is from RNAcentral. Lineage: Eukaryota; Metazoa; Chordata; Actinopteri; Characiformes; Acestrorhamphidae.
AGGGAGAGAGAGAGAGAGAGAGAGAGAGGGUUGGCUCAGAGACAGUGUCAGUGUGGCACACUGGAGCACUGAACAGAGAACCGGCAGAUACUGAAGAUGGCUAACUGACCAACAUGGAUGCAGCUAAAUUCAGGCUCUGUUCGAAUAUGGAGGCCUCAUGGUGUAUGAAAUGGUAUGAAACACUGGGCCAACUGCUGGAGUGAUGAUCUGAGAAAUUCACUGGAAAACCCCUCUUCAGGUCAUCUUGCUCUCUGUAACAUAACUCAGCCUCACCUGACCAUGGCCAGCUCUCACAGGAUUAAAUAACAGGGGAAUAUCCAGUGAUGUCACGACCCCCGACAAAGUACCUCUGAAUGCUCAGGAGAUGGAUGGAGUGAUGGAAAAACAGAGGGAGGCAGAGAAAGAGAAGGACAGCGAUGCUGCGGACGGACUAUUUGCACAACAUGCAGAAACACAGGCCAGCCACCGGAGGGCGACAGAAAAACAUAAAUACAGCACUUUGGGUUAUCAGAAGAAGAAGCAGAGGCCUGUGGAUUUCUCUACAGUGAGUAAGGGAUCGUCUGGCAGCAGUAGGUCUAGAGGAGCACUGAUGCAGGCGCUGUUCAGUCAGAAUGCAUCUGAAAAGUCUUCUACUCAGGAGGUAUUAAACUCUUAUUCACUCUUACACAUGUCUAACAUUUUUUUUAUUAUAUU